UGGGGAAUAUUGGGCAAUGGGCGAAAGCCUGACCCAGCCACGCCGCGUGAGUGAUGAAGGCCUUCGGGUCGUAAAGCUCUGUGGGGAGGGACGAACAAGCCUGGGGCUAAUCACCCGGGACCUGACGGUACCUCCUUAGCAAGCACCGGCUAACCCUGUGCCAGCAGCCGCGGUAAUACAGGGGGUGCAAACGUUGCUCGGAAUCAUUGGGCGUAAAGCGCACGUAGGCGGUCUGUUAUGUCGGAUGUGAAAGCCCUUGGCUCAACUGAGGAAGUGCAUCCGAAACUGGCAGGCUAGAGUACUAAAGAGGAUCGCGGAAUUCCCGGUGUAGAGGUGAAAUUCGUAGAUAUCGGGAGGAACACCGGUGGCGAAGGCGGCGAUCUGGGUAGAUACUGACGCUGAGGUGCGAAAGCGUGGGGAGCAAACA
RNAcentral lists this ribosomal RNA (427 nucleotides) under uncultured Haliangium sp. Its description in RNAcentral is "bacterial SSU rRNA". It matches the Rfam family "Bacterial small subunit ribosomal RNA", at positions 355 to 774 of the family's 1533-position model. Lineage: Bacteria; Pseudomonadati; Myxococcota; Haliangiales; Kofleriaceae. The record is from RNAcentral.